This 107-nucleotide non-coding RNA is filed under the name unclassified sequences. RNAcentral describes it as "NiCo sequence". It matches the Rfam family "NiCo (Nickel/Cobalt) riboswitch aptamer". The record is from RNAcentral.
ACAGUACAAACUGAGCAGGCGAUGAACCUUUUUUAUAAGAGGUCAUGGGGCCGGGCCACCCAACGAGUGGCAGCAGAUUGCAUAAUGCGCACAUCUGUGGGACAGUA